Molecule: ribosomal RNA, 1607 nt
Filed under: Salmonella enterica subsp. enterica serovar Havana
Lineage: Bacteria; Pseudomonadati; Pseudomonadota; Gammaproteobacteria; Enterobacterales; Enterobacteriaceae
Description: bacterial LSU rRNA
Rfam family: Bacterial large subunit ribosomal RNA
Source: RNAcentral
GUUGGGUAGGGGAGCGUUCUGUAAGCCUGUGAAGGUGUGUCGUGAGGCAUGCUGGAGGUAUCAGAAGUGCGAAUGCUGACAUAAGUAACGAUAAAGCGGGUGAAAAGCCCGCUCGCCGGAAGACCAAGGGUUCCUGUCCAACGUUAAUCGGGGCAGGGUGAGUCGACCCCUAAGGCGAGGCCGAAAGGCGUAGUCGAUGGGAAACGGGUUAAUAUUCCCGUACUUGGUGUUACUGCGAAGGGGGGACGGAGAAGGCUAUGUUGGCCGGGCGACGGUUGUCCCGGUUUAAGCGUGUAGGUGUGUGUUCCAGGUAAAUCCGGUUCACUUUAACACUGAGGCGUGAUGACGAGGCACUACGGUGCUGAAGCAACAAAUGCCCUGCUUCCAGGAAAAGCCUCUAAGCAUCAGGUAACAUCAAAUCGUACCCCAAACCGACACAGGUGGUCAGGUAGAGAAUACCAAGGCGCUUGAGAGAACUCGGGUGAAGGAACUAGGCAAAAUGGUGCCGUAACUUCGGGAGAAGGCACGCUGACACGUAGGUGAAGUGAUUUACUCAUGGAGCUGAAGUCAGUCGAAGAUACCAGCUGGCUGCAACUGUUUAUUAAAAACACAGCACUGUGCAAACACGAAAGUGGACGUAUACGGUGUGACGCCUGCCCGGUGCCGGAAGGUUAAUUGAUGGGGUCAGCGCAAGCGAAGCUCCUGAUCGAAGCCCCGGUAAACGGCGGCCGUAACUAUAACGGUCCUAAGGUAGCGAAAUUCCUUGUCGGGUAAGUUCCGACCUGCACGAAUGGCGUAAUGAUGGCCAGGCUGUCUCCACCCGAGACUCAGUGAAAUUGAACUCGCUGUGAAGAUGCAGUGUACCCGCGGCAAGACGGAAAGACCCCGUGAACCUUUACUAUAGCUUGACACUGAACAUUGAGCCUUGAUGUGUAGGAUAGGUGGGAGGCUUUGAAGUGUGGACGCCAGUCUGCAUGGAGCCGACCUUGAAAUACCACCCUUUAAUGUUUGAUGUUCUAACGUGGACCCGUAAUCCGGGUUGCGGACAGUGUCUGGUGGGUAGUUUGACUGGGGCGGUCUCCUCCUAAAGAGUAACGGAGGAGCACGAAGGUUGGCUAAUCCUGGUCGGACAUCAGGAGGUUAGUGCAAUGGCAUAAGCCAGCUUGACUGCGAGCGUGACGGCGCGAGCAGGUGCGAAAGCAGGUCAUAGUGAUCCGGUGGUUCUGAAUGGAAGGGCCAUCGCUCAACGGAUAAAAGGUACUCCGGGGAUAACAGGCUGAUACCGCCCAAGAGUUCAUAUCGACGGCGGUGUUUGGCACCUCGAUGUCGGCUCAUCACAUCCUGGGGCUGAAGUAGGUCCCAAGGGUAUGGCUGUUCGCCAUUUAAAGUGGUACGCGAGCUGGGUUUAGAACGUCGUGAGACAGUUCGGUCCCUAUCUGCCGUGGGCGCUGGAGAACUGAGGGGGGCUGCUCCUAGUACGAGAGGACCGGAGUGGACGCAUCACUGGUGUUCGGGUUGUCAUGCCAAUGGCACUGCCCGGUAGCUAAAUGCGGAAGAGAUAAGUGCUGAAAGCAUCUAAGCACGAAACUUGCCCCGAGAUGAGUUCU